Molecule: ribosomal RNA, 523 nt
Filed under: uncultured bacterium
Lineage: Bacteria
Description: partial 16S ribosomal RNA
Rfam family: Bacterial small subunit ribosomal RNA
Source: RNAcentral
GACGAACGCUGGCGGCGUGCCUAAUACAUGCAAGUCGAACGAAGCUGUUUUAACUGGUGCUUGCACCGACUUAAACAACUGAGUGGCGAACGGGUGAGUAACACGUGGGUAACCUGCCCCAAAGCGGGGGAUAACAUUUGGAAACAGAUGCUAAUACCGCAUAACCACAGAAACCACAUGGUUUCUGUGUCAAAGAUGGUUUCGGCUAUCACUUUGGGAUGGACCGCGGCGUAUUAGCUAGUUGGUAAGGUAAUGGCUUACCAAGGCAAUGAUACGUAGACGAACUGAGAGGUUGAUCGGCCACAUUGGGACUGAGACACGGCCCAAACUCCUACGGGAGGCAGCAGUAGGGAAUCUUCCACAAUGGACGAAAGUCUGAUGGAGCAACGCCGCGUGAGUGAAGAAGGUUUUCGGAUCGUAAAACUCUGUUGUCAGAGAAGAACGUGUGCGAGAGUAACUGUUCGUGCAGUGACGGUAUCUGGCCAGAAAGCCACGGCUAACUACGUGCCAGCCGCCGCAGUAA